Molecule: ribosomal RNA, 399 nt
Filed under: uncultured bacterium
Lineage: Bacteria
Description: bacterial SSU rRNA
Rfam family: Bacterial small subunit ribosomal RNA
Source: RNAcentral
GGGAUAUUGCACAAUGGGGGGAACCCUGCUGCAGCGACGCCGCGUGAGUGAAGGAGUACUCCGGUAUGUAAAGCUCUAUCAGCAGGGAAGAAGCAAGACGGUACCUGACCAAGAAGCCCCGGCUAACUACGUGCCAGCAGCCGCGGUAAUACGUAGGGGGCGAGCGUUCUCCGGAUUCCCUGGGUGUAAAGGGAGCGUAGACGGCCGAUCAAGUCUGGAGUGAACGCCCGGGGCCCAACCCCGGGACUGCUCUGGAAACUGGUGGGCUAGAGUGCUGGAGAGGUAAGUGGAAUUCCUAGUGUAGCGGUGAAAUGCGUAGAUAUUAGGAGGAACACCAGUGGCGAAGGCGGCUUACUGGACAGUGACUGACGUUGAGGGUCGAAAGCGUGGGGAGCAAAC